Molecule: unclassified non-coding RNA, 23 nt
Filed under: Mus musculus (house mouse)
Lineage: Eukaryota; Metazoa; Chordata; Mammalia; Rodentia; Muridae
Description: oocyte_clustered_small_RNA2534
Source: RNAcentral
CAGUGGUAAGAGCACUCUGCAGG